GUUGUCUGCAGGAGCAACACGUGUCACUGCUGGAGGAGGGAGGACCACAGCAUGGGCAAUUCAAGCGUGCUAAGGAGAAGCAUUUUGUCUUGCCUGUUUCAUUCUUUGUUGCCCUUGCUGAGUCAUUUCCGGCAGCUGUGCUCUCUCAGGGCUCUUGGUGGGGCCGUGUGGCUUUUUUGAGUCUCUCUCACACAUGCAGGAGGAUUGGUCUCAGCAUGCACCUCGGGUAUCUCAUCCUCGCUGCUUUCCUGAGGCAACCACUAGGCACCAUGGGGCAGACCACCGUCACCCAGCAAGAAGGACAAGUCACAGUCAAGGAGAGAGGCACCUUCCAAACAACCUGCACGUACCAGACUUCUGGCUUUAAUAGAUUGCUCUGGUACCAGCAGAGGAAAGGCCAAGGUCCACAGCUUAUCUCAUAUCAGGCAGCAGCUGGCCCCAGGCGGAAGUGGGCCGUCUCACCACGUUGCUGAACACACCGGGGAAGAACAGCCUUCUCCGGCUGGAGGAGAAGUCCGAGGUCUCUGACGCUGCCGUUGUACCCUCUGUGCUGUGCAGGACACCCUGGUGCAGGAAGCUUCCUUGGCUGUGCAACAAGCCAGGGGAGAGAGGGCAUUGGUAUUCCUGCAAACCUGUUCCUUAGAGUACCUGCUGCCGGAUGUGUCCCUCAGAGGUCAGAGUUGA
Aquila chrysaetos chrysaetos is the source of this 684-nucleotide non-coding RNA. NCBI's taxonomy places the organism in Eukaryota, Metazoa, Chordata, Aves, Accipitriformes, Accipitridae. The record is from the annotation of a RefSeq genome assembly.